Molecule: long non-coding RNA, 920 nt
Organism: Alligator mississippiensis (American alligator)
Lineage: Eukaryota; Metazoa; Chordata; Crocodylia; Alligatoridae
Exons: 3
Source: RefSeq, a predicted model, not a curated record
GCAGGCAGCUACCAGGUGCCUGAUAAGGGCAGCCAUUUUGAACAAGGCAUAUAAAUGCUGCAGUUCACUAUGGCCAGAAACAUUGCCUAGCUGAGCUGCAGCAGGAACAGCCUUGGAGUACAUGAGAACCCAGUCAUACCAGGAUACCUUUGAGCUAGGACUCUACGAGCAGACAACAAAAACAAAAAAAAGUGGACCUUCUGCCAAAGAGCUUACGACCCAAUACAAGGAGAAAAAUGGAUGCAAAGAAGAGAGUGCAAUGACUGCUGGUCAGAAUGCCAGGGUGAUAACUUAUUAAUCUUCUGAUGCAACAUUGUCCAUGGCUCCACUUUUUACAAAGAAUCUGUAUGAGCUAGUGGUGCUGGGCAUUUUCUUGGCUUGGUGUUCUUUCACACAGCAUUUGUUGCUCCUUGGCUGUUUUUGUGAACCGUGCUCAAGUUCUGCAUGCCUUUCUGCUUCAAGACUUUUCUUGUAGAACUUGGAUUUCUAUCAUGUCCAGUGUCAGAUCAACAGUACUCCAUAAACUUCAGUCUGGACUGGCUGACUUCCUUUGUAAAUUCCAGUUGCUUUAUUAAUGGUUAUUCUGGGCGUUUGCAAUCAUAUUUGAUUAUGAUCCAGAUGGGCAGCUUUUGGUUUUAGCUCCCCAGAACUACAAGGUGAAUUAUCUAAGGUUAAAUCUCCCAAAACCUUUAUGUUAUCAUCUUCUCUUUGUAGCCUAGUUAAAAUUACAUCUUUCAUAUUAUUCGCUUUUGUGUAAUACUGUGCUACAGUCAGCCUCUCCUGCCCAAGUUAACUGGAAAAUAAUAAUAAUAAAAAAAUCAAGUGUUUCAGAACUAGCUAUGGUCAGAAAUAAUGCUGUUGUCAGUUUUCAUUUCUGUUGGUACUUGCUGCUUGCAGAUGCACAAUGAAUUCCUGAUUAA